Molecule: ribosomal RNA, 1030 nt
Filed under: uncultured bacterium
Lineage: Bacteria
Description: bacterial SSU rRNA
Rfam family: Bacterial small subunit ribosomal RNA
Source: RNAcentral
ACUCCUACGGGAGGCUGCAGUGGGGAAUUUUCCGCAAUGGGCGCAAGCCUGACGGAGCAAGACCGCGUGAGGGAGGAAGGCUCUUGGGUUGUAAACCUCUUUUAUCAGGGAAGAAGAUCUGACGGUACCUGAUGAAUCAGCAUCGGCUAACUCCGUGCCAGCAGCCGCGGUAAUACGGAGGAUGCAAGCGUUAUCCGGAUUUAUUGGGCGUAAAGCGUCCGCAGGUGGUUUUUCAAGUCUGCUGUUAAAGCGCAGAGCUUAACUCUGUAACGGCGGUGGAAACUGAGAGACUAGAGUAUGGUAGGGGUUGCGGGAAUUCCCAGUGUAGCGGUGAAAUGCGUAGAUAUUGGGAAGAACCACCAGCCGGGCGAAAGCGCGCAACUGGGCCAUUACUGACACUCAUGGACGAAAGCUAGGGGAGCGAAAGGGAUUAGAUACCCCCUGUAGUCCUAGCUGUAAACGAUGGGUACUAGGUGUUGACCGUAUCGACCCGGUCAGUGCCGUAGCUAACGCGUUAAGUACCCCGCCUGGGGAGUAUGCACGCAAGUGUGAAACUCAAAGGAAUUGACGGGGGCCCGCACAAGCGGUGGAGUAUGUGGUUUAAUUCGAUGCAACGCGAAGAACCUUACCAGGGCUUGACAUGUCGCGAAUCUCGGUGAAAGUCGAGAGUGCCUUCGGGAGCGCGAACACAGGUGGUGCAUGGCUGUCGUCAGCUCGUGUCGUGAGAUGUUGGGUUAAGUCCCGCAACGAGCGCAACCCUCGUUUUUAGUUGCCAGCAUUUAGUUGGGCACUCUAGAGAGACUGCCGGUGACAAACCGGAGGAAGGUGGGGAUGACGUCAAGUCAGCAUGCCCCUUACGUCCUGGGCUACACACGUACUACAAUGCUUCGGACAAAGGGUUGCGAGCUAGCGAUAGCAAGCUAAUCCCGUAAACCGAGGCUCAGUUCAGAUUGCAGGCUGCAACUCGCCUGCAUGAAGGAGGAAUCGCUAGUAAUCCCGGGUCAGCAUACUGGGGUGAAUACGUUCCCGG